Molecule: long non-coding RNA, 2462 nt
Organism: Neofelis nebulosa (Clouded leopard)
Lineage: Eukaryota; Metazoa; Chordata; Mammalia; Carnivora; Felidae
Exons: 2
Source: RefSeq, a predicted model, not a curated record
AGGAAUGCGUAUAGCAGCAUCACAGAGCUGAGGGCCCUGACUUACAAAGGCCCAUCUGCAACACUCGAAACUACCUGCUCACAUCCAUCUUUUCUGAUGGGCUCCGGGCUCCAAGAAGACAGAGGCUUGGUGUGUCUUAUUCAGCUUUAGUACCUAGAAGCACCUGGCACAAAGUCAAUGCUCAAAAAGUUUUGCAGAACUAUAUUAAAUUGUAUGACAUUUUUCUCUGACAUUACUCAGAAGCCCAGAAGAGUUCUCAGAACUAAUGUGCAGAUCCUCUCUAAAUAGAAAAUAGUUACUGUAGACACCCUAGUGAUACCAAUUUUCAAUUCAUUUAAGUAUAUACAGCCAACUUAAAGCUAGAUAUAAAAUGCUUCAUAGUCCUGGCUCUCACACUUUAUGAACCAAAAUUUACAUAUGCAAAUACAAACUAGGCACUAAAAUAAUAAUUACUCUGUUACAAGGUAGUCAACCAGAUAAUCCAGAUGUUGGUUGCAUACUGUUACAAUUAUUAGCACAAAAGCACAACAUUGUUUUACAAAUUCUUACAGCUCAAAUCACUGAGACUACUUCCCUUGGGUUCUCAGACUUCACUCGAAAUCACUGCAUUAAUCCAUUGGUUUACAGAACAAGUGCAGGCACUGAGGAGGCCUUGGCUGUGCUGACAAAGAGUUAACAACAAAGAGCACAACAGGGUGAGAGGGAGGACGCAUUCCUCUGAGGCAAGAGCAUCUUUCCGCUACAAGAAGAACAUUGAAAGUCAACAUUUUACUUCCCUUUGUCUGGCAGGAAGAUGUAUGUGCUGGUGGUGACUAUGAAAGUGUUUAUGACCCAAACAAUAAGCCAAAAUUAAUGAUCAACAAAAACUGAGCAGAAAGGAUAAAAAAGAAAAAAAAGAAAGAGAGAGAAAAUAGGAAAGAGAAAAGGCUAAAAACUCCAAUGUGAAGAUGCAACUAAUACCUCACUAGAAGUCUUUUUCUGCCUAAUGCAGAGAAAUAGAACAGUAGUCUCAACUAGAAACCUUUCUAUAAUUCACUACUCCCGCCCAGAAGAAAAGAGUGCUUUUUAUGAGCACUGACCCCUUCUUACCCAAAGGUGGCAUCAACCUGAAGAUAAUGAGCUCCAACAACAAAGGUCAGGCUGCUCCAAAGCUACAGGCUCACAAAAUGACUUGAAACCUGAGAACGGCUCAUGACAGGACUAGAUGCUUUAAGAAAAUGACAAUAACUGAAUAGACUGAAGCAAAAUUCAUCACUAGUAAGUACUCUACCCACCUUCUCCAAGGCAACAUGAAUAUGGAAGAUGGAUCACCAUCACCUACCACCCAGUCCACAAGUGCACAGGAAAGAUAAAGAAUGGAUAUACUGCAUGUUGGCACAUAAAGAGCCUCAAAGAUAAAUCAGCUGGGGGGGGGGGGGUGGGCAGGUAAGGGCAUGGAACUUAUUCAGGAAAAACUUCUACAGAAGAAAAAGUUAAAGGAAGUGAAGAAUCUUCCAGGAGAAAAUCUAGAUGAACUCAUUAUGCUCUUGAAGAGACUUAGAAAAUCUCAAAUAGGUCUUCUAGCAAUCAGUCAAAAACAGUUAAGACAACAAAACUAGAGGAAAAGCAUAGAGAACUCAGGGAGGAAAUUUAAGUUGAAAUCCCUAUAGAACUCUUAAAUAUGAGCAACAGAAUCAACAUGGCAGGCAAAGCAUGGACGAGAAAAACCACACCGAAUUCAAAAUAAUUCAAGCCAAUCAGACACAUUAUGAUAGAACCAGUAGUGAUCUAGUAAACAGGUAACUGGUAGACUACCACCACCCUUCCAAAAGGAGAGCCUAUGUGAGAAUGAAAAAAAAAAAAAAAAAUUCAGAGCUUUCGGGUUGGUAAACUGUGGAGAUUUAGGGAGAGGGCAUGGAAGAAGCUCCCUGCCCCUUCCCUAUUCCUUGUCCUACGCAUCUCUUCCACCUGGCUGUUUGAGUUAUAUCCUUUUAUAAUAAACUGUUAACCUGGUAAGGACAAAACAAGCAAACAGAAAGCAAUCAAACAUUAAACCAAAAAAAAAAAAAACUGGUGAGGGGGCAUGUAAUAAACUCAAAGACUGAAGAAGGACAAACUUAAACACAAGCAGGAAACUAAACACCUUAACAAAACUGUUAAGCCGUAUUAUUAAAGGCUGAUCCAAAAUGAGCAUGGAAAGUUGCCUGAAAUGAAUUGUUCCAAGAUCCUCUUUGCACUCAAAAGAGAAAACAUUACCUAGCAAUUGAUAUUUUUCAAACCAGCCUAGUAAGCUGUUCCUUCUCUACACUCCCUGUGGCUAUAGAUUUGGCCCUUCCCUGGGAGGAGAAAGGAGUAAGUUAGUAAGAGUUUUGUUUGAGAAUUUAACUAUGGGGCAAGUUUACAAAGAUAAUUGUGAACGCAGCUAGCAAAAAGUGAAAUGUUAACCAUCCUGUUAUAAUAGCAUCAAUAAACACUGAAAGUAA